Molecule: long non-coding RNA, 393 nt
Filed under: Equus asinus (donkey)
Lineage: Eukaryota; Metazoa; Chordata; Mammalia; Perissodactyla; Equidae
Description: lncRNA (ENSEASG00005032171.1, ENSEASG00020037627.1)
Source: RNAcentral
AACACUCUUUUCUCUGGUUAAAUGGAUACCUGGCUUUAUGGUGAAGUUUGGUUGUGCGCUGCAUUAACAUUCACAAGAUGCAGGAGUUGCAUCGCUGUUUAUCAGGAGAUGAACACUCUUUGCUCUGCAAUUCAGAGAAAGCAUUGUCAUAACCGUGUGCAAGUAGGUGCUUGAUAGAAGAUCUUAGAGAAGAGAUUGAGUUAGAGGAUUUCAUGGCUGAAAGGACCUUCAAGAUCAUCAGAAUCCGCCACGUCAAAUGGCGCUGGUCCAGCAGCGGGAGGACGGGAAGACUCCAAUUACAGACCUUGAUGCCAUUCUGCCCGUGCAGUGAGCCCAGUAACACAGAAAUAAAUGCAGCUGCCAAUGCCAGCCCCACCCUGCCUCCCUUUUCCU